UAGGGAAUCUUCGGCAAUGGACGAAAGUCUGACCGAGCAACGCCGCGUGAGUGAAGAAGGUUCUCGGAUCGUAAAACUCUGUUGUUAGAGAAGAACAAGGACGUUAGUAACUGAACGUCCCCUGACGGUAUCUAACCAGAAAGCCACGGCUAACUACGUGCCAGCAGCCGCGGUAAUACGUAGGUGGCAAGCGUUGCCCGGAUUUAUUGGGCGUAAAGCGAGCGCAGGCGGUUUCUUAAGUCUGAUGUGAAAGCCCCCGGCUCAACCGGGGAGGGUCAUUGGAAACUGGGAGACUUGAGUGCAGAAGAGGAGAUUGGAAUUCCAUGUGUAGCGGUGAAAUGCGUAAAUAUAUGGAGGAACACCAGUGGCGAAGGCGGCUCUCUGGUCUGUAACUGACGCUGAGGCUCGAAGGCGUGGGGAGCAAACAGG
This 429-nucleotide ribosomal RNA is filed under the name Gemmatimonadota bacterium. RNAcentral describes it as "Gemmatimonadetes bacterium partial 16S ribosomal RNA". It matches the Rfam family "Bacterial small subunit ribosomal RNA", at positions 355 to 776 of the family's 1533-position model. Lineage: Bacteria; Pseudomonadati; Gemmatimonadota. The record is from RNAcentral.